AUGAAGGCGAAGGAGGAAGCAAAAGAAAAACUGAAGGAGGCUCUGAAGAAGAAGGAUCUUGACCUCGCCGAGGCGCAGAAAGCGGCUUUAGACAAGACAAAGCUCGCGGAAGAAAACUUGACUUCAGUCGGUAAACUUGAAGAGGAGAACGCCAAUCUAAAAGCUGCUCUUGAUGCGGCCAACAAGGAGGCUAGCCGACUGAAGAAUGACAAGAUUGCUCUGAGCGACAAGGCUAGCAAACUGGCGGGGAAGAAGAACGAUCUGGAGGCUUAUCUGGGAGGGCUCGCCAAGAAGUUAUUCCUCAUGCUUGAAGAAUUCUGCCAAAACUUUGAGGAAGAGACUAGUCGAGUGGAGACAGGCCUGGAUCCCAUUAACUCUCCUGUGAAGGAUGAAGCUGCCAUGAACGUGCUCCGACUGGAGUCUCGUGUUGCUGGUGUGGUGGACUAUCUUGCUCGACUGAAGGUUGCGAUGUCGCGAAUCGACACAACACUCUGGCCGGGGGAAACACUUCAGAAUGACCUCGAGUCUCUGAUGACUCGACUGAAUGAAGUUCCAGGUCGAGUGCAAGAAUGGAAGAAGUCUUCUGCCAGGUGUGGUGCUGAUGUUGCUCUGUCUCUGGUCCGUGUUCACUGCAAGGAUGCGCGAGAGGAAAAGCUGGCGUCCCUCAAGGUGGCCAAUACCAAGAAGCAUGACUUCCGAUCUUUCAUGGAGACCUUCAUUGCUGCUGCCACUCGGAUUGCAGAUGGAAUCGACCUGGACGAGUUUGUCGCGCCUUCCAGUCCUCCGCCUGAGGAGUGA
This 798-nucleotide ribosomal RNA is filed under the name Triticum aestivum (bread wheat). RNAcentral describes it as "partial small subunit ribosomal RNA". Lineage: Eukaryota; Viridiplantae; Streptophyta; Magnoliopsida; Poales; Poaceae. The record is from RNAcentral.